GAUGAACGCUGGCGGCGUGCCUAAUACAUGCAAGUUGAGCGGGAGGUUUACCUCCAGCAGCGAACGGGUGAGUAACACGUAUCUAACCUGCCCUUAAGUCUGGAAUAACGUUGGGAAACCGACGCUAAUGCCGGAUAGGUAAUUGAAUCUUAUGAAUUAAUUAUUAAAGAAGCGUUUGCUUCGCUAAAGGAUGGGGAUGCGCAGCAUUAGAUAGUUGGUGGGGUAAUUGCCCACCAAGUCAACGAUGCUUAGCCGACCUGAGAGGGUGAUCGGCCACACUGGAACUGAGACACGGUCCAGACUCCUACGGGGAGGCAGCAGUAGGGAAUUUUCGACAAUGGACGAAAGUCUGAUCGAGCAACGCCGCGUGAGGGAAGAAGGUCUUCGGAUUGUAAACCUCUGUUAUAAGGGAAGAACAGUCAGAGCAGGAAAUGGCUUUGAUUUGACGGUACCUUAUCAGAAAGUGACGGCUAACUUCGUGCCAGCCGCCGCGGUAAU
RNAcentral lists this ribosomal RNA (498 nucleotides) under uncultured bacterium. Its description in RNAcentral is "bacterial SSU rRNA". It matches the Rfam family "Bacterial small subunit ribosomal RNA", at positions 28 to 524 of the family's 1533-position model. The record is from RNAcentral.